Molecule: long non-coding RNA, 2180 nt
Organism: Mercenaria mercenaria
Lineage: Eukaryota; Metazoa; Mollusca; Bivalvia; Venerida; Veneridae
Exons: 2
Source: RefSeq, a predicted model, not a curated record
AAAGAGAGGGCCAAUACGGAGAAGUCACUUUCGUUAGAUUUUUAAAUGACGCCAUUUUGUUUUACAUCAGAGUUAGAGAUUACAAUUUUUUUUUCUUCAAAUUUUUGACAAAAAAGUCAUCUAACAUGUUCAUGUAAUAACCAAGUAUAUGACUUGUACGUCUUCAUAGAUUACAACAAUACUUUCGCUUAUUCGGUAUUGUGUAAAAGCAAGUGUUUCCUGUCAGAAAAUCUGGCAGUUGUCAAGGAAUAUAAUGAGAAAAUAUAGAACUUCAGAUUAAUUAAAAGGAUGAGACUUAUCUUUAACAGACAUUUUGAUAGUGUGUUCUAUUUGUGCAAAGAUAAAUAGCGAUUCAAAUGCUGGAAAUUGGAUGAAUAAAUUGGCGAACAAGAGUGUCAGUUGUAAACUGCAAACAAUUUCGGAUAAGAAUUAAACGAAGCAUAGGGGUGUAUAAUGUGUGCUUGGUUGGUUGUAUUAUCUUGAUCAACACAUAUGUGUACAAUUUUGUGUCUCGUUGCCUACUGACUUUUAAAGCAGUUUUUAUCACAGUUAAAAUGAUACAAUAACUCACUAAAGAAAAUAAACAGGAAUUCAAAAAAUAAGACGAACAAAUGGAACAACAAAACUUAAAGCGGAGAGAAAACACUUGGGUGUUCCCGCAUUAUUACCUAAGUACGGAAAAGCAACAUAUUGUAGCAUGUUUAAGGAAUAGAUAAAAAUCACCAACAAAAUAUUACUUAUCUACAUAGCCAUUUUGUUGAUGUGUUCUGAAAUGAUAAGAGAGUAGUGUUGAGACGGCAACUAUUUCAAUUUGAAUUUGAUACCAGAGACUUGGAUAUGGUGCGAAUGUCUCUUGACACACAUUUUGCCUUCUAGCCAGUAAGAUCAUUUGCAUCUAGAAAAUGUAUUUCUUGUAUAGCGGUCACGUGGAAGGACAACAGGGACGCUGAGUUUACUUGAUUUUGAUUAACCGACAUACGAUCAUACUCGAAACUCAUGAUUUAUAUUUGUUUGAUUUCUUGAUGAAUGUUCCUGUAAAGGUACUAUCUGCAAUGUUUUAUUUACAGAGAAGCUCCUUAUAUUUGUUUGGUCUAGGAAAAUCUGUUCACCUCACAGAAAUAAGAGAUUGACUACAUUUCUGUGAAAAUGUAAGACAUUUGUUUUUUUUGCAAUUGUGCUAACUGAGAGAGAAACACUAAUUAAUCACUCAAUAAUAAAUCUUCCUGCAAGGUUACAAAGUGUUAGUAACGCAAUUGAGUUAGUGUAACUGUAUUUGAACGACGUUUAUAUGUAAAUAUUUACAUGAAAUGAAAAAUAAAUUUGACUUACGUAACAUACGCAAAUAGACGUACCACGAAAACAGACGAACAAAAUGUAGUACUUACAACUAGUUGUCUCAGAAGUAACAGAGUUAGUUAAAGGUUAAUAAUGACGUACGUACAAAACAUUAUUUUGACUUGAAUAUUCAUAAGAAGAUCCUUUGGAAGCACAGAACGAAACCGAACCAAAAAACAGGUUUGAUUGAUGUAAUGAAAUGUGAAAUACCUUUCCCUGGCACAGGCGUAGGCGGAACUCUAUUAUACAAAUGUUUUGAAUGGACUCAUUGGUUUAAAAUGAUCUGAAAAUAUGACGUCACAUCACUGAGUCCACAGAGAGAACACGCAUCAACCACGGCAUGCAAAAUACUGGAAUAGUUUUUAACAAAUCUGUUUCAGCUACCGGAACAACUGGUAUUAAUCCCAAACGUUUGAUGUCUUCAAGAACACGGGUGUUUAGUAAAACAUAGUGAAAUUACAUACUUGAAACCAGCACGACUGUCAAAGAAAAUUGAUUGGAUGAUCUUAAGAGAAUACUUUAGGAAAUAAGCUGGCAUUUUUCAAUGGAUUAAUAAUGCAAGAGAUAUUGUUUAUUGCAUUGCAUGCCAUUUUACGUUCUGCUGCGAUUUGCAGAGAUAUCUCUCUAGUCGUAUUUGUUAUUGUUUUGUUCUGACAAACAGCAUUCCGUAAUUGAUAUACUAGCAUUUAUGCUUUGAAAGGAAGCAUUUAUAGAAACAUAUUCACAGAAGAACAGACGAUAAUAGACUUCGCCAUCAUGACAUAAUUGAUAACAUAACAUGUUCAUUAUUGUAACAAUUUCUCCUUUAUUCUGAUUGCUAUUUAGUAAAGUUUUGAUGUCUGGUA